Molecule: ribosomal RNA, 383 nt
Filed under: uncultured eukaryote
Lineage: Eukaryota
Description: partial 18S ribosomal RNA
Rfam family: Eukaryotic small subunit ribosomal RNA
Source: RNAcentral
UGUAAGCGUAUACCAAAGUUGUUGCAGUUAAAACGCUCGUAGUCGGAAUUUGGCAGUUCCGGAUGUGUGCACGUCGUGUGCGCACUUCGCGGGGAUUGCUUUUGUGGUCUUGCGUAGGAUGAGGCACUUUUAUUAGUGAACGUCCUCACGCAACCACUUUUUACUGUGAGAAAAUCAGAGUGCUCAAAAGCAGGCAUUUGCCGUGAAUGUAUUAGCAUGGAAUAAUAGAAUAGGACUUGGUUCUAUUUUGUUGGUUUGUUGGGACUGAGUAAUGAUUAAGAGGGACAGUUGGGGGCAUUUGUAUUUCGGUGCUAGAGGUGAAAUUCUUAGAUUACCGAAAGACAAACUGCUGCGAAAGCGUCUGCCAAGGAUGUUUUCAUUGA